RNA transcript from Marmota monax (woodchuck), 8849 nucleotides. It is a transcript of the gene named ArfGAP with dual PH domains 2, with no coding region annotated. The record is from RefSeq and is a predicted model, not a curated record. NCBI's taxonomy places the organism in Eukaryota, Metazoa, Chordata, Mammalia, Rodentia, Sciuridae.
GCGGCCGGGCUGAGCCCUGCUGAGCCCGCCCCGCCCGCCAUGGGCGACAGCGAGCGCAACAAGAAGCGGCUUCUGGAGCUGCUGCAGGCUGCGGGCCCCGGCAACGCGCACUGCGCCGACUGCGGGGCGGCGGAUCCCGACUGGGCCUCUUACAAGCUGGGAAUCUUCAUCUGUCUCCACUGCUCUGGCGUCCACCGCAACUUCCCGGACAUCAGCAAAGUUAAAUCCGUGAGACUCGACUUCUGGGACGACAGUAUUGUGGAGUUUAUGACUCACAAUGGGAACCUCCGCGUGAAGGCCAAGUUCGAAGCCAGAGUCCCAGCUUUCUACUACGUCCCCCAAGCCAAUGACUGCCUGGUGUUAAAGGAACAGUGGAUUCGAGCUAAGUAUGAGAGACAGGAGUUUAUGGCUGAUGGGAAAGCAGUCCCUCCCCCAGGUAACCGAGAAGGAAUCCUGUGGAAGCGGGGAAAGGACAAUGCACAGUUUCUGAGAAGGAGAUUUGUCCUGCUGGCAAGAGAAGGACUCCUGAAGUACUACACCAAGGAGGAGAGUAAAGGCCCUAAAGCUGUCAUCAACAUCAAGGACUUGAAUGCCACUUUCCAGACAGAGAAGAUAGGGCACCCGCACGGGCUGCAGAUCACCUACAGGAGAGAGCGCCACAUCAGGAACCUGUUUGUGUACCACGAGAGUGGGAAGGAGAUAGUGGACUGGUUCAACGCCCUCCGCGCAGCCCGUCUACAAUACUUAAAAAUGGCCUACCCCGAGCUUCCAGAGUCUGAGCUCGUGCCCUUCCUCACCAGGAACUACCUCAAACAAGGCUUCAUGGAAAAGACUGGUCCAAAGCAGAGAGAACCUUUCAAGAAAAGGUGGUUUGCCCUGGAUCCCCAGGAGCGGAGGCUGCUGUAUUACAAAAAUCCGCUGGAUGCCUUUGAGCAGGGCCAGGUUUUUAUCGGGAGCAAGGAGCAGGGGUACGAGGUCUCUGAAGACCUGCCCAAAGGCAUCCGAGGGAAUCGCUGGAAAGCCGGCAUCACCAUCCUCACCCCGGAGCGCAGAUUCAUCCUCACCUGUGCCACUGAGAAGGAGCAACGGGAAUGGCUGGAGAGUUUGCGGGAUGUCCUGUGCCGCCCCUUGACACCCCUCCAUGUACCCAAUGUGUCCCUGCACGGCUGCCCUGUCUGCUGACAGCCCUGCAGAAAGGGAGAGAUGUGCUGAGCUGGAGCAGGAAACUUCUGACCCAGGGCUUGACUUCUGGGGCACAAGGGAGAAGUUCUGUGUUUGGAAAAGUACAGACUGAGCAGCUGCAGUAACAGAGAGUGGCUGUAGCAGCAGGUGACCCAUCGGCUGGGGAGCUGGCUGGCCACCAGCCACCUACUGGAGCUCCUGGCAUAAAGGAGGAGUUCUUAUCUCUGAUCCAGUUGCCCAGCACGAGUGCCGCACAGCCAGCAGCCAGCUUGGCAGAACUCACUGCUGACACUGAAGCUGUGAUGGAUCUUCCUGCUCCUUGGCCCUUCCCUACUGCCCAGCCUCCAGAUCAGAGGACGUGGUACACAGUGAACACAUAUGUCACCCUGUCUUACAAACCAAGACUUGAAAUGUCCUGAAGGCCCAGAACCUGCUCAUCUGAAAUGGAGGCAUUGUAAUGAAAAAGCACCCACAGCAUCCUGGAAGUGGCGUUUUGAAAAAAAAAAAUUAAUCUGAAUGUAAUCAUGAGGAAAUAAUCAGGCAGAUUCACAUUAGGUAUGCUCUGCUGAACAGCCAGCUGGGACUCUUCAAAAAGGUCCAUGUGAUGAAAGGUAAAAUAGUUUGGGAACUGUUGUAGGUCUGGCAACCAGAAACCAGAUGCAAUGUAUGAUUCUUGAGUAGGUCCUGGAUUUAAAAAAAAUAGCUGUAAAGCACAUAAUUAAGAUAAUUGAAGAAAUUUGAAUAUGGAUUUAUACUAGCUAAUAGGAUUGUAAGAUUAUGGUAUUCAUGCUGUAAUGGUAUAGGAAAAUAUUCCUGUCCUUAGGAGUUACGUGCUGAAGUGAAAUGUAAUGAUGUCUAUGACUAAUUCCUAAAAGAUUCAGCAAAAACAAGUGUAUGUAUAAGUAUAUGAAUACAGUGUGUGUAUGUAUAUAUACAUAUAUAUAUAUAUAUGUAUAUAUACAUAUACAUAUAUAUAGAGAGAGAGAGAGAAAGAGAAAUACAGAUAUACAUAUAUAUAUAAAGAGAACAGUACUGUAUAAAUGUUAUCAACUGAUGAAUCUAGAUAAAGUGUAGAUGGGGUUAUUUUCCUAUUAAUACAAAUAUAUAGGUUUGAAAGUUUUUAUAUUAAAACAUUGGAGGAAAAAAAACCCAACUACUUUUCACUCUUCAAAAGCAUGUUUUUCUCUAUGAAUCCAAAUGUUCCUGGAGCCAUUUGGCACAAUGUCACAUGCCUGUAGUCCCAACUACUCAUGAGGCUGAGGCAGCAGGAUGGCAAGUUUGAGGCCAGCCUUGGACAGUUAACAAGACCCUGUCUCAAAAUAAAAAAUAAAGAGAGCUGGGGGUAUAGCUCAGGGAUAGAACUUUAGCCCAGCAUGUGUGACACCCUGGUUUCAAUCCCCAGUAGGCCAACUAACAAAAAUAAAAGUAGCCAGAGCAAUGUUACCCACCUGUAGUUCUAAGUACUUUCAAGACUGAGGUAGGAGAAUGCCUGAGUCGGAGAGUUUGAGGCCAGCCUGGGGAACAUAGUGAACCCCCCUCCCCCCCCAAGAGAUCAGGCUGGAGCUGGAGCUCAGUAGCAGAGGACUAGCCUCGCAUGUGUGAGGUACUGGGUUUGAUCCUUAGCACCACAUAAAAAUAAACAAAUAAAAUAAAAGCAUACUGCCCAUCUACAAUUAUAAAAAAAAAUAGAUAAAUAAGAAGGGGGGGGAAUCAAUGUUCCUGGUAGAGUUCCAUCUUUGUGCACAUUUGAAAGAAACAGAAGCUCAGAUAAUAUCAAAACAAUGCCUGCAUUGAUUGUCAUAGUGCUCUGGAAGGGAAAAAAAAAAAAAAAACAGAGGAGACACCGCUCCCCUGGACCACAAAAUGGAGAGCUAUCCAGGGUUGUCAGGUCCUGCCACUAACUUGAGACCACUAGCAAAUUCACUUCCCCAACUCUAUGCCUUGGUUUUUCUCUCUGAAAUGAGGAAGUUGCACUCGUUAUUGAAAUCCAGUGUAAGUCACAUGUAUUUUUGCCCACCUCACGGAUGCCAGGCUCUCUGCCUCACCCCAUGAAUAGGCAGGAAUAAAACGAUGUGCUCCCUGCUGUGGCAGAUGACAGCCUUCAGGGGGCGGCAGCCACUAACCAGGGAAUGGCAGGGAGUAGGGUGUUCAGAAAGGGGAAGGAGAGCAACCUGUGGUGGCAGGGUGGGGCAACCAGGCUUGUCCUAACUGAGGAGGAGAGGGCAGGCGCCUCCCUUUCCAGAAAGUGACACUGAAGUUGAAACUUCCCGGCUGUGUAAAGAUUAGUCAGGGGGAAGAGGGUGAGGAAAACACUUUAAGCUGAGGGAAGAAGAUGGUCAAAGGUCCCCAAGAUGUGAAAGAGAAACUGACAGGAAUCUCAAAUGGCUGAAAUGUUAGAGAAACAGAUGGACAAGUUUCCAGUUCUGUGAUUUUUUUCCUUUUAAAUCCUUUCCUCUCUUUUCAAUGGAUGUGCAGAAAUACACGAGGUAUUUUUUCUUCAAUGGAGACCCAGAGGGUUGAGAGGGUCUUUAAGAGAUUCUCUACAGUUACUGGGACUUUUCUUUGGAUCCCCGGAGGACAAGCAACACAUUGGGGUGUCUCUUUCCUGAAGCUUUGUGACUACCUGGAUAGGGAGGUGGGUCCUCUCUGCAUCACCUGUCACACCUUGGAAAUGUCUGUUUCAACUCCUGCUGGGCUGUGUGGUAGGGGCCAGUUCACUUGUCUCCCUUUACCACCACCUAUGAACUGUGUUGGGCACCCUACUAAGAUCUGGAGAUGAGGACAUCAAUGAAAGGUGCAAUCUUGCCCUCAAGGGAAACCAGAGGGGAAGGAAGAAAAGUCAGCAGACAGCAACAACCCUGCUCCACUAUUCUGGGAGGGAAGCCAGGCUUCUGAGUGUGGGAGAGGGGCCCAAGGACAGGCACAAGAGGUCAAACCCCAGUGACCUAGUUGGGUCUCUAUCUUUGGGUUCCCUGACGAUACCUUUGUACUCUUGCCUUAAAUCCCCCUUUUUCCAUCUUGACUUGUUAGUGCAAGGAAGUUUCAAUUGUUUGAAUCAAUCCCAACUGAAAAUUCUCCCAAAGAGGUGAUAUCUAUGCUGAAUCCUAAAGAAUGAGUAGAAGAUCCUUGGGUUAGGGUGGGGGAAACAGAGAAAGAUGCAUGUACAAAAAGGCCCCAAGACAAGAGAGGCCUGUUCUGGAAAUUUCAAAUAAUUAAGUAUGUCUACAGAACCAGAUUGUUGGGGUGAGGAGGAGUAAGAAAAGAUGAAAUUGUAGGAGGGUUUGCUUUCAAUAAUGUUGGAGCAACUCAUAUCACAACAAUCAUCUGACAGAUAUCAAUUAUAGGCGCUGGACAGACUAUAUCAAAACAAAUGCCUGAAAGCACUGGGAAAUGACCCAAAGCAGGCAGGAACCAGAAAGGAGUUGGCACUAAAAAGCAGGGAAUGGCACGGAUAAAUGUCUCAUUUUUUUCAGUUUUCAUCAGAGGACAGGCCCAGGUUAGUGCCUCAGGGAGUUACCCAAACUCUGAUGGAAACAUACAGUCUUCCUUCCUGAAAAACAGAGAACAGUGAAGUAAACACAGCAAUUGGAAAGUGAAAGGAGAAAAUCUGGGAGAAGAGAGCCACAGAGGAGGAGCCCUGAGUUUUCCAUAUAAACUGCCCGAUCUCUGGAGAAAUGUAGCAGAAUCCAAAAGGUCUAUGAAGUAUCUUUCUCAAUAUCAGGAUAUAAUGCCAAAUUACUAGAUAACUGUGUGCUAAUCAGUUUUGUUACCAUAACAAAAUACCUGAGUUAAACAGCUUACAAAGAGAAAUGGUUUAUUUUAUCAGAGUUUUUAUCACAGUUUUGGAGACUCCAGUCUAUGAUCAGUUGGCCCUGUUGCUUUGGGCCAGUGAUGAGAAGGGGCUGGGGUCCCAUAGUCCUCUUUGGAGGCAUGUACCCAGUGACCUAAGGACUUCCCACAAGUCCUCACCUUGCAAAAGCCCCACCACCUCCCAUGAGUGCCACUCUGGAAACCAAGCCUUUAAAACAUGGGCCUUGGGGGGACUUUCAACAUGCAAAUUAUAGACAUAUGUACUGAAAUGAAUGUAUGAAUAUGAAACCAGAAAAUGUGAAUGAUAUUUGUAUUCUCCAGAGAAACAGAAACAGUAGGAAAUACAUAGAUAUAUAGAAAGAGAUUUAUUAUGAGAGACUUGAUUAUGGAUUAUGGAGGCUGAAAAGUUCGGUGAUCGCUAUCUGCAAACAGAGGCCCAGGAAAAUCAGUAGUGAAGUUCUAGUCCAAAAGUGCCAAUGUCUGAGGGAAGGAGAAGGAUGGCCCAGCACAAGCAGAGAGUAGAAUUUACCUUUUGUUCACCUUAUUGUUUAUUUAGGUCCUCAACAGAUUGGAGGAUGCCUACACAUGUUGGUAGGGCAAUCUUCUUUACUCAGUCUACCGAUUAAAAUGAGAACUUCUUAGUUGGGUGCAGGUGACACACGCCUAUAAUCCCAGAGGCUUGGGAGGCCAAGGCAGGAGGAUUACAAAAUUUCAAGCCUCACUUGUUGCAAUUUAGAGGGACCCUGUCUCAAAAUAAAAAAUAAAGGGUUGAGGAUGUGGCUCAGUGGGAGAGCACCCCUGGGUUCAAUCCCCAGUAUUAAAAACAAACCCCAAAAAAUGUAAAAAAUAGUUUUAAAAGAAAUAUAAAAGAUUGCCUAUUUAAAGCAAAAAUUACAAAUGUUUUGCUUUGUAGCAUCUAUAGAGAUAACAUAUAUAACAACUGGAGCUUAAAGACUGGGCCAACUGAUCAUGGACUGGAAUCUGCAAAACUGUGAUAAAAACUCUGAUAAAAAAAUAUAAACAUUUUUCUCUUUGUAAGCUGAUUAUCUCAGGUAUUUUGUUAUGGUGAUGAAACUGAUUAGCACACCUUUGUAUAGUAAAUUUUACAAUAAGUGGCAUACAAAAUCAACUCUAAAUUGACUGUGAAAAGUCAAUGAUGUAUAUUGUAAUUUUUUUCUUUCUUUUUCAAAAGAAAAGAAUUAUAGGGUUGGGGUUGUGGCUCAGUGGUAGCGUGCUUGCCUGGCAUGUAUGAGGCACUGGGUUCGAUUCUCAGCACCACAUAUAAACAAAUAAAUGAAUAAAGGCCCAUCAAUAAGUAAUAAAAAAAUCUUUAAAAAAAGAAAAGAAUUAUAAUAUACAUCUCUCCACCCACCCACUCCAGGCUGGUCUCCAGGUCCCCGACUCAGACAAUUCUCCUACCUAAUCAGGUCCUGGGGAUUGAACCUAGGACCUCUUGCAUGCUAGGUCAGCACCCUGCCUCAGCCCUUUUUGUUUUUUAUUUUGAGACAAUCUCCCUAAAUUGCUGAGGCUGACCUCAAACUUGAGAUCUUUCUGCCUCAGGCUCCUGAGUAUCUGGGAUUACAGGUGUAUGUUCCCACACCCUUUCCAUUCUCAUCCCUACUCCUUUUAAAAUUGUGUGGUUUGUUUUCUUAUUGUUAAAUUCUUCAUAUACUCUGAAUACCAGUCCUUUGAUAGACAAAUUGGCAAAUAUUUUCCCCCAGUCUGUGGUUUUUCACUUCCUGUCUCACUCUCUCUCCCUCUCUUUUUUUUUUUUUUUUUUUUUUUGCUACUGGGAUCAAACCCAGAGCUUUGUGUAUGCUAGGCAAAUUUGCUCUCAGCCCAAAUUUUUCAGUCCCUUGACUGGGUUAAUGGAAUCUUCUUUCAUCAAGACACUGAGGUCACAGUUCAUUACUUUCUUUGUUUUAUGAAGAUCUUUGUACAGCAUUAAAAAUAGGGUAUUUGUUGGGUGCAUGGUGCAAACCGGUAGUCCCGGGAGGCUGAGGCAGGAGGAUCAUGAGUUCAAAGCCAGCCUCAGGAAUUUAGGGAGGCCAAGCAACUCAGUGAGACCCUGUCUGUAAAUAAAAUACAAAAAGGGUUGGGGAUGUGGUUCAGUGGCUAAGUGCUCCUGAGUUCAAAAGGGUAUUUUGGCUUGUGUUUGGAUGUUUGUAUUCAUUUAUUAUAAGUGGAGUGGGAAUAAGGACUAUGACAAUGUAUAACAUGCUUAAUAAACUCUCCCUUCCCUUGACCACAAAACAAAAACACACAAACAAAAACUUUGUCUCCAAAAACAUCUACCAAAGCAAACUCUGGUAGACCACAUUGGUGACAGUUAUACCUUUUUUUACCCAGCACACAAACUCAAGGACCUUGUUACUUCUUACUCACUUGGCAUUGGAACAAAGUAUUGCCUGGCAUGGUGGCUCAAACUCUCAGGAGGCUGAGGCUGGAGGACUGUUUGAGUUCAGGAGUUAGAGAACAGCCUGGGCAACAUACUGAGAACUUCUCUCAAAAAUAGAGUAUACAGGGGCUUAGGUUGUGGCUCAGUGGUAGAGCGCUUGCCUGGCAUGUGUGUGUCAGGAGCUGCCAUGUGGGAAUCGAGCGCCCCCUAGCUUUGAGUGAUGAGAGUGUAGAGUUGUGGCAAGUCAGCCAUGGGCUGUGUGUGUGAACUAUGAGCACUAAGCACACAGGGUGGACUGAACGGAUGUUGCUCCUCUGUUUGGGCGGGCAAUAUUAGCAUCUUUUCCUUCUCUCUAUGAUCCCCACACAGGGCAAGAUGGGCGUGGGCUUCCUAGAUGUCAGUCAACCUGCUGACAGCAAAACUUCACAAAGCUAGACUCAACCCCCUGAAACCUUGCCUCAUUUGAAUGGCUUCUCCCCAAUAAAAGGGUUCAGCACUCAUGCUCCUUGCUCUCUUCCUUGCUUGCCUUGCCCCCCCAUGGGUGCUGCAGCUGAGGAACCAUCAAUGAACCCCCAAAAAUGUACUUUCUGUGUCUGUGUAUUCAUUUAUUUCCCAAAUUCACUUGGAGUGACCCUGACUGGUUUAGUCGUGGGACAAAACAUGUGAGGCACUGGAUUUGAUUCUAAGCACAGCAUAUAAAUAAAUCAAAUAAAGGUCCACCAACAACUAAUAAAAAUAUUUUAAAAAAUAAAGUAUACAAUUCAAUUGUCUUGAAAAAACCACCACCACCACCAACAACAACAACAAACAGUGUCAUAGAAAUGUGUGUUGAGCUGGGGAUGUGGCUCAAGCGGUAGCGCGCUCGCCUGGCAUGCGUGGGCCCGGGUUUGAUCCUCAGCACCACAUACAAACAAAGAUGUUGUGUCCGCCGAAAACUAAAAAAUAAAUAUUAAAAUUCUCUCUCUCUCUCUCUUUAAAAAAAAUGUGUGUUGACAAAUUUGUUUGAACUGACAGCAAAUGAGUCUGAUUUAACUGACUGGUUUUACAGUAAGGACUAGCUUUGCCAGUUGGAUUAUGUGGCAUAUAUUCUACAUAAAUCCAUUGAUUUCAUUCUACAGGUCCAAUCUUUUGAAGAAUAUUUCAGGUAUAUAAGAUAAAAGUACCCCCCCCCAAAAAAAAGAAAGAAAAAGAAAAAAGGAAGAAAGAAAGAAAAAAGGUUAUUAGAUCAACAAAGACAUAUUGAAAAGUAUUCUAAUUUUUCUAGCCCUUUCUGAAUACAUCAGGGUGUUUCUAAGUCAAAGUGUAAUUGAUUGUAAUUGCCAGUCACUUGACAAACCUAAGCAGAGUCUUUUUGGCCUACAUCCCAGAAAAUAAGAAAGUGAAUACUUCCAAUGACUUGUAUAACACAGAUGAUUUCAAAUGUCUGUUUUCGACAAAAAUAAAGAGAAAAAAAAUCGAA